UCAGGAGGGAAACAGCUUCUGAAAUGAGUCUCUCUGAGGAGCCUGAGGCUGAAGAUGGAGCACUGGGCCCUGAAAUUGAGAGGGUCAAGCUGGGCAGACCAGAGUCACCAGUGCCCAGCUGUAUGUCUAUGAAGAGUGACUUUUCAAUGGAACAUCCAACACACUUCAGAACUGGAGACUUCAAUCCUGACCCCAGGUGAGGUCACUGUUUUCCAUGGAGUGUAUCUGUCAGCAGCUCAUGAGAUAACAUUGUGUGAACUGGA
This 263-nucleotide long non-coding RNA is filed under the name Lepisosteus oculatus (spotted gar). RNAcentral describes it as "lncRNA (ENSLOCG00000021478.1)". The record is from RNAcentral. Lineage: Eukaryota; Metazoa; Chordata; Actinopteri; Semionotiformes; Lepisosteidae.